RNAcentral lists this ribosomal RNA (253 nucleotides) under uncultured bacterium. RNAcentral's name for it is "partial 16S ribosomal RNA". It matches the Rfam family "Bacterial small subunit ribosomal RNA", at positions 524 to 776 of the family's 1533-position model. The record is from RNAcentral.
UACGAAGGGGGCUAGCGUUGCUCGGAAUCACUGGGCGUAAAGGGUGCGUAGGCGGGUCUUUAAGUCAGGGGUGAAAUCCUGGAGCUCAACUCCAGAACUGCCUUUGAUACUGAAGAUCUUGAGUUCGGGAGAGGUGAGUGGAACUGCGAGUGUAGAGGUGAAAUUCGUAGAUAUUCGCAAGAACACCAGUGGCGAAGGCGGCUCACUGGCCCGGAACUGACGCUGAGGUGCGAAAGCGUGGGGAGCAAACAGG